UACAGAGGUCUCGAGCGUUGUUCGGAUUCAUUGGGCGUAAAGGGUGCGUAGGUGGCGCUGUAAGUCAGGUGUGAAAUUUCGGAGCUUAACUCCGAAACUGCAUUUGAUACUGGCGUGCUUGAGGACUGGAGAGGAGACUGGAAUUUACGGUGUAGCAGUGAAAUGCGUAGAUAUCGUAAGGAAGACCAGUGGCGAAGGCGGGUCUCUGGACAGUUCCUGACACUGAGACACGAAGGCCAGGGGAGCAAACGGG
RNAcentral lists this ribosomal RNA (253 nucleotides) under uncultured bacterium. Its description in RNAcentral is "partial 16S ribosomal RNA". It matches the Rfam family "Bacterial small subunit ribosomal RNA", at positions 524 to 776 of the family's 1533-position model. The record is from RNAcentral.